Long non-coding RNA from Sinocyclocheilus rhinocerous, 175 nucleotides. RefSeq lists it as uncharacterized. The record is from RefSeq and is a predicted model, not a curated record. Lineage: Eukaryota; Metazoa; Chordata; Actinopteri; Cypriniformes; Cyprinidae. The transcript is spliced from 3 exons.
AGUAGAAAAAUGUCCUUUAAUAUUAGAUAGGAAAAAUAUUCUAGUUUAAUUUGUCCAUUCCUUCCACAUAAACCAGACAAGAUGACUUUUCCACCAAACAAUAUUAUGGACACAGAUUUUUGCCAGAAGCAACAGUUUGAAGCUGUUUGGACUCUCAUUCUGACGGCACCCAUUC